Molecule: ribosomal RNA, 158 nt
Filed under: Ramularia endophylla
Lineage: Eukaryota; Fungi; Ascomycota; Dothideomycetes; Mycosphaerellales; Mycosphaerellaceae
Also listed under: 103 other names
Description: 5.8S ribosomal RNA
Rfam family: 5.8S ribosomal RNA
About the family: 5.8S ribosomal RNA (5.8S rRNA) is a component of the large subunit of the eukaryotic ribosome. It is transcribed by RNA polymerase I as part of the 45S precursor that also contains 18S and 28S rRNA.
Source: RNAcentral
AAAACUUUCAACAACGGAUCUCUUGGUUCUGGCAUCGAUGAAGAACGCAGCGAAAUGCGAUAAGUAAUGUGAAUUGCAGAAUUCAGUGAAUCAUCGAAUCUUUGAACGCACAUUGCGCCCCCUGGUAUUCCGGGGGGCAUGCCUGUUCGAGCGUCAUU